GUUCUGCAUUGUGAUUGCUCUUAGUCCUAUGGUGCAGAGGAGAAAGGCCUGGCAGUCCCAGUAUCGCUGAGGAGUUGCCUCAGUGAACAUUGUACAGUUACAGGUUAGGGAUGAGAAUAGUCUCACUGAAGGGAGGGACGCACUGAUUCUGCAUGAUCACCCAGCAGUGACAUAAGUCUAACUGUGCUGUAAAGUACAUGCCCCUUGCUCCAAAAAGCUCCAUUUUGCCAGCCUAAUUUAAGAAAGAGGGAAUAAGAAAUCUAAGAUUUAUAAUGAAAGGAAAAAGGAUACCUGCCAUCAAAAGCUCUGAAUAUAUUUAAUUUUAUCUGACCUUACAGGUAAGAAUUGAGCUAAAUUAGUACUACUUGGGAUUUUGGCACUGCCUAGAAGGUAUUUCCUUAGAAAUGAAAGUUCAUAUACAGAAUAGCAGGAAAAUUCAACAAAAAGUUCAUGAGACCGGAUGCAAGAUUGCAAGUCUGUCUGUAACUUACUUUGUGAUGGCGUGAAUCAUUUAUUCUUUCAUGUCCCAAAUUUCCCCAACUCUUAAACCACAUUAAGGAGCGUCUAGUGCCAGACUACCACCUUAACCCCAGGCCCAGAGGAAGAAUUGAAAACAUCUUUCCCUAAGGACCAGAUGGCUUUCUGUUUCCUUUCACAGAUGCACCUGCUCUUUGUCUUCCUGGCCUGUUUUGCUUCAGUGAGGAUGAGGAGUCUGCACAACAUCUCUUGGGAAUGAGAAGACAUAAAUUAAAGGAGAUUCUGGAUAUCAUGUAAGAAAGGAAGCCCAGAACACUGGCUAGAAAAAAACAAGUUUAUUUGGAUCCUUAGCAGCACUGUUGUCACCUCUAAGGCAUUAGUAGCUGAAAAGGGUUCAUCAGCACCACCUGGAGGAGAAUAUGAGCAAUGCAUUGAGAAAGUUAAUUCGCUGCUGAGAAAAUGGGGAGUUUAAUUUCAUGCAGACUUCAUUCAUUCUGAAAUACCUACUCCUUUCAGCUAUGGGAUGCAGCAAUGAGGAAAACUCAGAAUUCUUGUCCCCUGGGAACUUACACUUUAUGGAGUAAGACAAUCAGACACACAGUCUUCAUGAGGCCACAUAUGCUGAGGAAGAGAAGAGACUUAUAGAUGUGCUACUUAGAGAGGUACAGUUCAUUAGGAACCUGAAUGUGGCAAGGAAGAGAACUAUGUGAACAUCCAGGGAAAGUAAACGCUAGACAUGAGGAAUAAUGCAGAAAGGUCUUUGAUGAGACAUCCUUGUUUUUGUUUUUGUUUUGUAUUUAAUAUAACACUAGUAAUCUGUAUAGCUGGAACAAAGUGGGCAAAGGUGAGGAGAAUAGUAGAUUAAGUUGAAGAGGCAUCUGGGGCCAAAAUUGUGUAGAUUAGGGAAACAACCCAGAAGGUAAGGAAACUCAGUUUCUCUGAGGCCAAAAGGAGAAAUAAUGUUCAGAGGUAGAGAUGGGCUGCUAGCAGUCGACUUUCAAAGGGGUUGAAAGUAGAAACCCUACUUGGAUAUGCCAGUGGAAAGAAGCCCAUGGAUAUAGUAAAUCUGUACUUAUUUACCUUGACCUAGUGUGUUAUCUUGUACUGCAGAAGCUGGGGAGCUAAACCUUCAUGUCUUAGAUUUCCACUCUGAAUUUGCUAAUUGGAUAUACAAAUGAGAUGUAGAAGGAAGAAAGGUUUAGGCAUUAUGUUUAGCUGUAUUGGUUAUUGCUCCUGCAAGGUUUAUAGACUUUAGGUUUCUCUUUAAUGGUAUUCCAGUGUCUGUUAGGUAUCCCUUCAAGACACCUGAGAGGUGUCUUGAUCCAGACAGCAGCUUGUGACAUGUGUUCCUGUGGUCAAUGUGUGUGCCUCCUGAUUCCUUCUUUCCCUGUUAGUGCUACAGGUGGCAACUCUCAUGGUAGGCCAAGUCUGGAAGUCUUCUAGAAGCCCAGCCUAUAGCGCUCUCGGCCAGGCUUCCCAGCUCUUUUGUAAUCAUCUCAUCUGCCUACAUUGAGUCCUUUUCUACUUAAAAUUGAUGGGGGAGUUUUGUUUUCUGUAUACUCUUGGUUCUAAAAUAGGCUACUGGCAACAAGUCCUUUUAGAUUACUUAUGACUAAAUUGGGUUUGAAAGAAAUGAGGAUCUUGUUGCCUUUGGAAAAUGGUAAACCGGUAGGCAAAGGUUUGUAUCUGUGAUCACCUAAGAUGCAACAUCCUUUGGAGGAAAGACUGGCAGAUCCAGUAGCUGUAAGAAAUAAACCAUUGGGCUGGGGAUUUAGCUCAGUGGUUUAGCCACCUGCUGCGCAAGCACAAGGACCUGAGUUCGAUCCCUGGUACCAAAAAAAAAAAAAAGAAAAGAAAUAAACCAUCAUGUAAGAAACGAGGAUU
Heterocephalus glaber (naked mole-rat) is the source of this 2361-nucleotide non-coding RNA. NCBI's taxonomy places the organism in Eukaryota, Metazoa, Chordata, Mammalia, Rodentia, Bathyergidae. The record is from RefSeq and is a predicted model, not a curated record.